GAUGAACGCUGGCGGCGUGCCUAAUACAUGCAAGUCGAGCGAACAGACGAGGAGCUUGCUCCCUUGACGUUCGCGGCGGACGCGUGUGUAACACGUGGAUAACCUACCUAUAAGACUGGGAUAACCUCGGGAAACCGGAGCUAAUACCGGAUAAUAUAUUGAACCGCAUGGUUCAAUAGUGAAAGACGGUUUUGCUGUCACUUAUAGAUGGAUCCGCGCCGCAUUAGCUAGUUGGUAAGGUAACGGCUUACCAAGGCGACGAUGCGUAGCCGACCUGAGAGGGUGAUCGGCCACACUGGAACUGAGACACGGUCCAGACUCCUACGGGAGGCAGCAGUAGGGAAUCUUCCGCAAUGGGCGAAAGCCUGACGGAGCAACGCCGCGUGAGUGAUGAAGGUCUUCGGAUCGUAAAACUCUGUUAUUAGGGAAGAACAAAUGGGUAAGUAACUAUGCACGUCUUGACGGUACCUAAUCAGAAAGCCACGGCUAACUACGUG
This 497-nucleotide ribosomal RNA is filed under the name uncultured bacterium. Its description in RNAcentral is "partial 16S ribosomal RNA". It matches the Rfam family "Bacterial small subunit ribosomal RNA", at positions 28 to 507 of the family's 1533-position model. The record is from RNAcentral.